RNAcentral lists this ribosomal RNA (514 nucleotides) under uncultured bacterium. Its description in RNAcentral is "bacterial SSU rRNA". It matches the Rfam family "Bacterial small subunit ribosomal RNA", at positions 28 to 526 of the family's 1533-position model. The record is from RNAcentral.
GAUGAACGCUGGCGGCGUGCCUAAUACAUGCAAGUCGAACGAGUUCUGGUUUAUGAUGGCGGUGCUUGCACCAAUAGAUUAAACAUUUGAACGAGUGGCGGACGGGUGAGUAACACGUGGGUAACCUGCCCUAAAGUGGGGGAUAACAUUUGGAAACAGAUGCUAAUACCGCAUAAACCUCAAAAGCACAUGCUUUUGAGUUGAAAGAUGGCGUAAGCUAUCGCUUUUGGAUGGACCCGCGGCGUAUUAGCUAGUUGGUGAGGUAAAGGCUCACCAAGGCUGUGAUACGUAGCCGACCUGAGAGGGUAAUCGGCCACAUUGGGACUGAGACACGGCCCAAACUCCUACGGGAGGCAGCAGAGGGGAAUAUUGCACAAUGGGCGAAAGCCUGAUGCAGCGACGCCGCGUGAGGGAAGAAGGUUUUCGGAUUGUAAACCUCUGUCUUAGGGGACGAAAAUGACGGUACCCGAGGAGGAAGCCACGGCUAACUACGUGCCAGCAGCCGCCGUAAAAC